Molecule: non-coding RNA, 308 nt
Organism: Lupinus albus (white lupine)
Lineage: Eukaryota; Viridiplantae; Streptophyta; Magnoliopsida; Fabales; Fabaceae
Source: the annotation of a GenBank genome assembly
AUGUUUAGUCUUGCUAUGAUGAGCAGAUUAGCCAGCAACAGGCUCCAACAAUCAGAUUACAGUUUUGAUCAAGCUGACAUAUAGGAAAAGCUAAGCUAUGCUGUUUUUAGACUACAAGAGCCCCAGCAUCUAGAUUCAUUUACCUAAGGUUCUGAUCACUCUUGUUUUGCAAUGUAGCUUCUACAACUGAACUAUGAUUAUCAGAGAAAAUGCAGUAUAUCAUAUUUCAUUAAUUUCUUGAUUAAGAAAAUCCAUGUAGUGGAUUUCAUCCAGUAGGAUUUUGCUGUUACUGUACUACAACUUUGAAU